ACUGAACCCGGAACCAUGUGGUUGGGAAGGAAGCUUUUUACCACACAGCCAUUCCUAUUGAGGAGGCCAAAUGUCAACAAUGUGCUGAAGUAUCGAAUCAAAAGGAUCUCUUUUAAUCCAACCUCUUGUCGCCACGUAAACUCAACUUUUUAGUGGGGAGAUAACCCAAUUUUUUUAUGGCAAAAAGUACCAAAAAGUACUGACGUUUCAAUUAUGUCGUCACCAUCUCGUCUUUUCGUUUGCCUAUGAUUACAUUAUUCAAUAUUUCCUUGUCCUUUUUUUUGUUUUUGUACGACAGCAGAGUAAAAUUUGAUGGAGAUUUGACUAUUGUUUUCAGCCAGUCGAUAGUCAACACUGAUACUCCCAACUUGGCUUGAAUUCAUAGAGCUUUGUAGAGGUUUAUUGCAAAUUAUACAGACCAUUAUUCCGUAAUGCACGUAGAAGUAACCAGUGGUUGUUAGUUGUUAUACAAGACAGACAUCAACAAAAGCUGAAUUUUGACGUCGACGACGUGUCAGCGUUCACUCGGGCAAAGACACGUAAACAGUCAGUGGUUUGCAUAUGAAGUGGAAGUUUGAACUUUUCAACCCUGAGGUAUCUUAGU
Molecule: long non-coding RNA, 604 nt
Organism: Octopus sinensis (East Asian common octopus)
Lineage: Eukaryota; Metazoa; Mollusca; Cephalopoda; Octopoda; Octopodidae
Exons: 3
Source: RefSeq, a predicted model, not a curated record